RNAcentral lists this ribosomal RNA (465 nucleotides) under Vreelandella stevensii. RNAcentral describes it as "partial 16S ribosomal RNA". It matches the Rfam family "Bacterial small subunit ribosomal RNA", at positions 338 to 795 of the family's 1533-position model. The record is from RNAcentral. Lineage: Bacteria; Pseudomonadati; Pseudomonadota; Gammaproteobacteria; Oceanospirillales; Halomonadaceae.
CCUACGGGGGGCAGCAGUGGGGAAUAUUGGACAAUGGGCGAAAGCCUGAUCCAGCCAUGCCGCGUGUGUGAAGAAGGCCUUCGGGUUGUAAAGCACUUUCAGUGGGGAAGAAAGCCUUGGGGCUAAUACCCUCGAGGAAGGACAUCACCCACAGAAGAAGCACCGGCUAACUCCGUGCCAGCAGCCGCGGUAAUACGGAGGGUGCGAGCGUUAAUCGGAAUUACUGGGCGUAAAGCGCGCGUAGGCGGUCUGAUAAGCCGGUUGUGAAAGCCCCGGGCUCAACCUGGGAACGGCAUCCGGAACUGUCAGGCUAGAGUGCAGGAGAGGAAGGUAGAAUUCCCGGUGUAGCGGUGAAAUGCGUAGAGAUCGGGAGGAAUACCAGUGGCGAAGGCGGCCUUCUGGACUGACACUGACGCUGGGGUGCGAAAGCGUGGGUAGCAAACAGGAUUAGAUACCCCAGUAGUC